GCCCUUAUGGUGGAAACGGUAGACACGAUAGACUCAAAAUCUAUUUUUUUGCUGGUUCAAGUCCAGCUAAGGGUA
This 75-nucleotide transfer RNA is filed under the name Phycisphaerae bacterium. Its description in RNAcentral is "tRNA-Leu". It matches the Rfam family "tRNA". Rfam says of the family: Transfer RNA (tRNA) molecules are approximately 80 nucleotides in length. Their secondary structure includes four short double-helical elements and three loops (D, anti-codon, and T loops). Further hydrogen bonds mediate the characteristic L-shaped molecular structure. tRNAs have two regions of fundamental functional importance: the anti-codon, which is responsible for specific mRNA codon recognition, and the 3' end, to which the tRNAs corresponding amino acid is attached (by aminoacyl-tRNA synthetases). tRNAs cope with the degeneracy of the genetic code in two manners: having more than one tRNA (with a specific anti-codon) for a particular amino acid; and 'wobble' base-pairing, i.e. permitting non-standard base-pairing at the 3rd anti-codon position. The record is from RNAcentral. Lineage: Bacteria; Pseudomonadati; Planctomycetota; Phycisphaerae.